CCUACGGGAGGCAGCAGUGAGGAAUAUUGGUCAAUGGACGAGAGUCUGAACCAGCCAAGUAGCGUGAAGGAUGACUGCCCUAUGGGUUGUAAACUUCUUUUAUAUGGGAAUAAAACAGGGUAUGCAUACCCUCUUGUAUGUACCAUAUGAAUAAGGAUCGGCUAACUCCUUGCCAGCAGCCGCGAUAAUACGGAGGAUCCGAGCGUUAUCAGGAUUUAUUGGGUUUAAAGGGAGCGUAGGUGGUUUGUUAAGUCAGUUGUGAAAGUUUGCGGCUCAACAGUAAAAUUGCAAUUGAAACUGGCAGUCUUGAGUACAGUCGAGGUGGGCGGAAUUCGUGGUGUAGCGGUGAAAUGCUUAGAUAUCACGAAGAACUCCGAUUGCGAAGGCAGCUUACUAGACUGCAACUGACACUGAUGCUCGAAAGUGUGGGUAUCAAACAGGAUUAGAUACCCCUGUAGUC
This 460-nucleotide ribosomal RNA is filed under the name uncultured bacterium. RNAcentral describes it as "partial 16S ribosomal RNA". It matches the Rfam family "Bacterial small subunit ribosomal RNA", at positions 338 to 795 of the family's 1533-position model. The record is from RNAcentral.